Molecule: ribosomal RNA, 468 nt
Filed under: uncultured bacterium
Lineage: Bacteria
Description: partial 16S ribosomal RNA
Rfam family: Bacterial small subunit ribosomal RNA
Source: RNAcentral
GACGAACGCUGGCGGCGUGCUUAACACAUGCAAGUCGAACGGAAAGGCCCUGCUUUUGUGGGGUGCUCGAGUGGCGAACGGGUGAGUAACACGUGAGUAACCUGCCCUUGACUUUGGGAUAACUUCAGGAAACUGGGGCUAAUACCGGAUAGGAGCUCCUGCUGCAUGGGGGGGGUUGGAAAUUUUCGGCGGUUGGGGAUGGACUCGCGGCUUAUCAGCUUGUUGGUGGGGUAGUGGCUUACCAAGGCUUUGACGGGUAGCCGGCCUGAGAGGGUGACCGGCCACAUUGGGACUGAGAUACGGCCCAGACUCCUACGGGAGGCAGCAGUGGGGAAUAUUGCACAAUGGGCGGAAGCCUGAUGCAGCAACGCCGCGUGCGGGAUGACGGCCUUCGGGUUGUAAACCGCUUUCGCCUGUGACGAAGCGUGAGUGACGGUAAUGGGUAAAGAAGCACCGGCUAACUACGUG